RNAcentral lists this ribosomal RNA (253 nucleotides) under uncultured bacterium. RNAcentral's name for it is "partial 16S ribosomal RNA". It matches the Rfam family "Bacterial small subunit ribosomal RNA", at positions 524 to 776 of the family's 1533-position model. The record is from RNAcentral.
UACGAAGGGGGCUAGCGUUGUUCGGAAUUACUGGGCGUAAAGCGCGCGCAGGCGGUUCUUUAAGUCAGGGGUGAAAGCCCAGAGCUCAACUCUGGAAUUGCCUUUGAAACUAGAGAACUUGAGUACGGGAGAGGUGAGUGGAAUUCCGAGUGUAGAGGUGAAAUUCGUAGAUAUUCGGAAGAACACCAGUGGCGAAGGCGGCUCACUGGCCCGUUACUGACGCUCAGGCGCGACAGCGUGGGGAACAAACAGG